GACGAACGCUGGCGGCGUGCUUAACACAUGCAAGUGGUGCGACGAACCAGGGCUUGCCCUGGGGCCAAGCCGCGAACGGGUGAGUAACACGUGAGUAACCUGCCCCGAUGACCGGGACAACCCGAGGAAACUCGGGCUAAUACCGGAUGUGGUGCACGGAUUUAAGUCUGUGUACUAAAGGAAGCUUCGGCCUCCGCAUUGGGAGGGGCUCGCGGCCCAUUAGCUUGUUGGUGGGGUAACGGCCUACCAAGGCAACGAUGGGUAGCUGGUCUGAGAGGACGAUCAGCCACACUGGGACUGAGACACGGCCCAGACUCCUACGGGAGGCAGCAGUGGGGAAUCUUGCGCAAUGCGCGAAAGCGUGACGCAGCAACGCCGCGUGGGGGAAGACGGCCUUCGGGUUGUAAACCCCUUUCAGGAGGGACGAAGUUUCACCGGUGAAUAGCCGUGUGGAUUGACGGUACCUCCAGAAGAAGCUCCGGCUAACUACGUGCCAGCAGCCGCAGUAACAC
Molecule: ribosomal RNA, 512 nt
Filed under: uncultured bacterium
Lineage: Bacteria
Description: bacterial SSU rRNA
Rfam family: Bacterial small subunit ribosomal RNA
Source: RNAcentral